Molecule: transfer RNA, 75 nt
Filed under: Gemmataceae bacterium
Lineage: Bacteria; Pseudomonadati; Planctomycetota; Planctomycetia; Gemmatales; Gemmataceae
Description: tRNA-Asp
Rfam family: tRNA
About the family: Transfer RNA (tRNA) molecules are approximately 80 nucleotides in length. Their secondary structure includes four short double-helical elements and three loops (D, anti-codon, and T loops).
Source: RNAcentral
GUCCUCGUGGACCAGCCCGGAGUGCUCGUCUGCCUGUCACGCAGAAGGUCGUGGGUUCAAAUCCCAUCGAGGACG